This 109-nucleotide ribosomal RNA is filed under the name Lepisosteus oculatus (spotted gar). Lineage: Eukaryota; Metazoa; Chordata; Actinopteri; Semionotiformes; Lepisosteidae. The record is from RNAcentral.
GGCAGCAGCUAUAUCACCCUAAACCUGGCAGCCCCAAUGAAGCUCAGCAUGUGAGAGCCUGUCCAGUACCUGGAUGGGAGACCUCCUGGGAAAGCUGAGGCUGCUGCUG